AUAUUUGCCUCUUCCUUCAAAUGCUGAAGUAGAUGACAGCUCAUGCACGUUCAGUUUCAACAUUUUGAUAACGCUGGCAUGCAUCUGGAAAAGGGGCAAAGAAGGUGUUGCACAUCACGAGGCUGGCACAUCUAUUUGAUACUGAAGUCAGCUAUAGUGAGUCCGUAA
This 168-nucleotide long non-coding RNA is filed under the name Anas platyrhynchos platyrhynchos (common mallard). Its description in RNAcentral is "lncRNA (ENSAPLG00000022837.1)". The record is from RNAcentral. Lineage: Eukaryota; Metazoa; Chordata; Aves; Anseriformes; Anatidae.